GGGGAGAUGGCUCAAUGGUAAGUACCU
Molecule: non-coding RNA, 27 nt
Filed under: Rattus norvegicus (Norway rat)
Lineage: Eukaryota; Metazoa; Chordata; Mammalia; Rodentia; Muridae
Source: RNAcentral